UACAGAGAGUGCGAACGUUGUUCGGAAUUACUGGGCUUAAAGCGCACGUAGGCGGCAUCGUAAGUGUCGGGUGAAAUCCCACGGCUCACCCGUGGAACUGCCCGGCAGACUGCGAUGCUCGAGUGUGGUAGGGGAGAACGGAACUCCUGGUGGAGCGGUGAAAUGCGUAGAUAUCGGGAGGAACACCUGUGGCGAAGGCGGCCCCCUGGUUGGAUACUGACGCUGAGACGCGAAAGCGUGGGGAGCAAACAGG
This 253-nucleotide ribosomal RNA is filed under the name uncultured bacterium. RNAcentral's name for it is "partial 16S ribosomal RNA". It matches the Rfam family "Bacterial small subunit ribosomal RNA", at positions 524 to 776 of the family's 1533-position model. The record is from RNAcentral.